CCUACGGGGCGCAGCAGUGGGGAAUAUUGGGCAAUGGGCGCAAGCCUGACCCAGCAACGCCGCGUGAAGGAAGAAGGCUUUCGGGUUGUAAACUUCUUUUAUGAGGGACGAAACAAAUGACGGUACCUCAUGAAUAAGCCACGGCUAACUACGUGCCAGCAGCCGCGGUAAUACGUAGGGGGCAAGCGUUAUCCGGAUUUACUGGGUGUAAAGGGAGCGUAGGUGGCAUGGUAAGCCAGAAGUGAAAACCCAGGGCUCAACUCUGUGGAUUGCUUUUGGAACUAUCAAGCUAGAGUGCUGGAGGG
Molecule: ribosomal RNA, 305 nt
Filed under: uncultured bacterium
Lineage: Bacteria
Description: bacterial SSU rRNA
Rfam family: Bacterial small subunit ribosomal RNA
Source: RNAcentral